CUGCAGCUGGGCUCCGUUCUCUAUCACCACACCAAGAACAGCGAGCAGGCGCGCAGCCACCUGGAGAAGGCGGUGAGCGCGGGCCGGGCCGCGAGGGAGGAGUCGCGGGCUCCUUGCAAGAUCUGGGCUGACGGGUCGCGACCGCGGCGGGUGGGGGGCCGCUCCUCGGCGACCUGGGGGCGCGACCUCCGUCAAAGCCGCAGGACCCCCACCCGCCUCUGCCGGACCCCAAAGCCACCAGCCUCUCAAGGGACACGAAAGCCUCGCCCCCCACGCCUUAUUUCCCGUUUCUGGUGACAGGGCUCCAGGAGCCCCGUCACCGUACUCUGAAAGUUGCCUGUUAUUGGGAGCAACAGGAUCCGCAAAUCGUCUGGUUUUCAGGAGGAUCCCACCUGUUGGUGGCGAUGGGGACAUCACAGGGUCCUGAAGCUAUUAGCUCCUCCUGGUUCAGCUUCCGGAGCAUCAGCCCCAAACGCUUCCACCUAAAGUGACUUGGGGUAGGGGUUGGCGAAGGCGAGACCCCUGGCAUUCUCCCGGGAAUCUGAAGUCUGGUCUCUCAGGAACCUGGAAGGGCAUGAUUCUCCUUGGACACAGAAGUUUGGUAAUCGUGGUUUUUGGAGGGUCUUGUGCCCCCAUCAAUAAUGCCUGGUGUCGUACGAGGGAAGCUGAGACCCGGAGUCUGGAGUUGGUCAUUUGAGGCCUAUGAGGAGGAGAAACAGGGGUUCUGGAUUCCAGGCCCCGCUGUUCAGUUUCAGUAUUAGGGGAACUAAAAGCAGCUCCUGCUUUUUCUCCAUCCACUGGUGACUUCUACCAUCCAUCAGUCCAUCCUCUUCCGUCAGAUGGUUGAUAUCACAGCAAAUCCCGCAGUUCGAAGAUGUUAAAUUUGAAGCAGCAAGUCUGUUGUCUGAAUUGUACUGUCAAGAGAAUUCCGUUGAUGCAGCAAAGCCGCUGCUGCGGAAGGCGAUCCAGAUC
Molecule: long non-coding RNA, 972 nt
Filed under: Homo sapiens (human)
Lineage: Eukaryota; Metazoa; Chordata; Mammalia; Primates; Hominidae
Description: HSALNT0256906
Source: RNAcentral